This is an RNA transcript of Drosophila obscura, 970 nucleotides long. It is a transcript of the gene named protein twisted gastrulation, with no coding region annotated. The record is from RefSeq and is a predicted model, not a curated record. The transcript is spliced from 2 exons. Lineage: Eukaryota; Metazoa; Arthropoda; Insecta; Diptera; Drosophilidae.
AUACGUUAGUAUGUAAAUAGUACAUGGUAGACAGAGUUCGUAUAUGUUAUGUAGCUUGCUUCGUAACGGUAUUGCGGAUAGAUCCGAUAGUCCCCUAGCUGUUGGUGUUGGUUGGUUGGUUGGUUGGUGUGUUGGUUUCGUUGGCUCCGUUUAAGGUCUGGGUCUUUCUACGAGUACUCUGUAUGAGAGCCCACUUGAGUUGUUAGUCAAUUGUACGGGUGGAUUCGUGUUGGCUGUUUGUCCUCCGUUCUCCGGUCAGCGUUCGAAGUUCUGCGUUCUCGUUCUCCGAGUCUGUAUCGCUUUUUCACUGUGUUCUUGGUUCUGCGUCCUGCGUUCUUGUUGCUUUCCGUUUUGAGUGUUUUGUUGUUUGGUUGGUUGGGUCAGUUGAACUGUGUUUGAUUGGACUGUUUUCUCAAGUUAGUAAAGUACUCGUACAUAUAGUUCUCUGUAAGUUCAUUUUGUUGUCAGUGGGUCUGUGGAAAUAGAAAGAUAAAAAUGGUUUUGUUCUUAAUAUGUUCACGGUCAGAGGCACCGCAUCGUCAAUGCACAAUGGUCCCCAUUGUGCGCAAGGUUUGUAGCUCCGUUCAGAACAUGAAUGGCCCUUUGGGCACUUUCGCACUCUGCGUACUUUACGUAGCCACAGUUCUUGUUGGGAAGCAAAUAUACAUCGAUAAGUCCUUUCCAGCACGAGAAAAUGUUCUUCAAAAUGGAGUGCGGAAGAUUCUGUCAAAGAAUAAGAUAAACCAUAAUUAGUUUCACCUCUACUUUGUGCUGUGGAUCACCUACCGCAGAAAGCACAAUGAAAAGUCGUUGUGCAACUUGGGCAUCGGGUGAUGCUAAAGGCUGGGCAGGAGGCAGGGGCACGUUGCAUAUGGCAUCCUUUUUAGUGCGUUCUGAAAUUGAUAAAUUAUAAAUAAAGCAGAAUAAAAUACUAGAUUCCAAUAAGCAGUAACAAACUCAACAAAACCAA